GGUUAGCAUGAAGCCUCACUAAUCCUUCCCAGUUGACUGUACACUGGAUGCAUUAGUUGAUUCAGCAGCAGAGAAAACAUCCAGGCCGGUGUUUCUAUGGAUACCACAAAGAGGUGACUACUGCCUGCUGCUGACAUGCGGAGGGUUGGUUUCCUCUGCAGAUGUACUUGAGGUUGUUCUGGUACUCUGGCUCAUAUGGACAACUAAUAGACACUGAAGAUGUUUCAUAACUUUGGACUUUGGUGGAUUGGUCACAGCACCUGUCUGUCAGAAAAAUGAACAACAUCACAGACUGUUGGGCACAGAUAUAACAAUUCAGAUUCUUUACUAAAGUAAAAUAAUCAAUAUCACAAUGUUAACAUGUUAAAAUACACAGUGUUGUAUUCCUUUUAGAUCAUUGUUACGGUUUAAUGUUUUAUUGCCUCAUACAAAAAAUUCACUAUGUGGACAACCCAAAGCAAUUCAACAACAAGGUCUUGAUAAGUGUAAUGAAAUAAUUUAUUGACAAUAGAGAGAUUCAGCACUCUGAUUAAUUUAUUUACCUACCUUGUCUUACUUCCAGCUGUACUUCAGUAUAGAUAUCCUUUCCAUUCCUGCUCACCCCACACCAGUACUUUCCAGCAUCCAUAAAACUCAGAUCAGAGAUGGUUGCUGUGAAGACCCGUUUUACAUCGACAUCAUUGAUAGAGUAUUUGUUCUUCUUUCUUUCUGUCGUUGUAAUGAGAACAUCAUCGUAACUACAGUCAUUCCUGCACAAGUACUUCUCAUAAGAUUCAUAACCCUCUGGAUAGGGACAAGGAACAUGAACUUCUUUGCCUUCAUAUCCAAACACAUGGAUCUCCUCUGCGGCACUCCUUACACAGCUCAGAGCAACUGCAAAGAGAAGACAACUUGAAAUGUAAAUAAAUAAAUCAUUUGGA
Micropterus dolomieu (smallmouth bass) is the source of this 920-nucleotide long non-coding RNA. RefSeq lists it as uncharacterized. The transcript is spliced from 3 exons. The record is from RefSeq and is a predicted model, not a curated record. NCBI's taxonomy places the organism in Eukaryota, Metazoa, Chordata, Actinopteri, Centrarchiformes, Centrarchidae.